Molecule: ribosomal RNA, 471 nt
Filed under: uncultured bacterium
Lineage: Bacteria
Description: SSU rRNA
Rfam family: Bacterial small subunit ribosomal RNA
Source: RNAcentral
AGGACGAACGCUGGCGGCGCGCUUCAAGCAUGCAAGUCGAACGAGAUACCUGAGCUUGCUCGGGUGGAGAGUGGCGAACGGGUGAGUAACACGUGAGGAACCUGCCCCGAAGACCGGGAUAACGCCGGGAAACUGGUGCUAAUACCGGAUGCCCUCGCCGGAUCGCAUGGUCUGGCGAAGAAAUGGAUUCCGCUUCGGGAUGGCCUCGCGGCCUAUCAGCUAGUUGGUGGGUAACGGCCCACCAAGGCGACGACGGGUAGCUGGUCUGAGAGGAUGUCCAGCCACACUGGGACUGAGACACGGCCCAGACUCCUACGGGAGGCAGCAGCUAGGAAUCUUGCGCAAUGGACGAAAGUCUGACGCAGCGACGCCGCGUGCGGGAUGAAGGCCUUAGGGUCGUAAACCGCUUUCAGCAGGGACGAAUUGACGGUACCUGCAGAAGACGCCCGGCAACUACGUGCCAGCAGCCGC